This 460-nucleotide ribosomal RNA is filed under the name uncultured bacterium. RNAcentral describes it as "partial 16S ribosomal RNA". It matches the Rfam family "Bacterial small subunit ribosomal RNA", at positions 338 to 795 of the family's 1533-position model. The record is from RNAcentral.
CCUACGGGGGGCAGCAGUGAGGAAUAUUGGUCAAUGGGCGCGAGCCUGAACCAGCCAAGUAGCGUGAAGGAUGACUGCCCUACGGGUUGUAAACUUCUUUUAUAAAGGAAUAAAGUGCGGCACGUGUGCCUCUUCGUAUGUACUUUAUGAAUAAGGAUCGGCUAACUCCGUGCCAGCAGCCGCGGUAAUACGGAGGAUCCGAGCGUUAUCCGGAUUUAUUGGGUUUAAAGGGUGCGUAGAUGGGUUGUUAAGUCAGUUGUGAAAGUUUGCGGCUCAACCGUAAAAUUGCAAUUGAUACUGGCAGCCUUGAGUACAGUUGAGGUAGGCGGAAUUCGUGGUGUAGCGGUGAAAUGCUUAGAUAUCACGAAGAACUCCGAUUGCGAAGGCAGCUUACUAAGCUGCCACUGACAUUGAUGCUCGAAAGUGUGGGUAUCAAACAGGAUUAGAUACCCGUGUAGUC